UCAAUUCCUGCUGCCAAGAAAGCUGACAUCAAAACAAAGAUAGCCCGACUUCAGGACCAAGUGAGAAAAGCACAGAAGCAUAUUGCUGAGGAAAACAAGUGAGCCCUGAAGGAGGGAGAACAAGAGAGGGAGAACGAAAAAGAAGAGCUGCGAGCUGUAAGCUGUGCGGGAGGGAAAAAGACUAAAGUAAUUCAUACCUCUUGAAGAUUAACAGGUAUAAAAAAUUGCUAUAAAAAAUAUAUUUUCUGCUAGUGUCGAAAGACCAAAGCUUCACUAGAAGCUUCCUCCAAUCAGAAAGUAGGUGAACCUUUGCAUCACGAGUGGCUGGGAAGAGUGAGAAGAGAAAGAGGGCGAACGCGGGAGACACCUCCGAUGAAGCUUGCAGCGGCGACAGUGGACCGGAAGAGAGUCAGAUGGUAACUGAAGAAGCGGAGAGAAAACAGGAAAAAGAAAAGGAAGAAAAGCUUAUUCUUCAUAAGUCCUCUAUGAGCUGCUUGAUUCUCCUUUUAUCCAAACAGAAGAAAAAAGAAAAGAAAGUUGAGAAAGGUUCAUGAUUGACAACAGAUAUCAAUCCAGACAUACUUAAUUGUUCAUACAUGUCUAAUUUUCUUCAACUUCAUUAUAUUCAUCGUUUGGCACGCUUCCUUGAUCAGAUACCUACAAUAUAACAUAAUAGUUAGUUGGUUAUAUAUUUAAAAAAAAAUCAUACAAAUAAAUUUAGUAAUUAUUACCGAGGGUUGAAAUGCUGCAAACUUUGAAGGCAAUUGACCUUGAUAAUUUUGCAACAUGAAUGCUAUCAUUUCUUUCAUAUCAUUGACUUGUGAUAUCAAUGAAGAUUUUAACAAAUGAAAGUAUUAAAAAAAAAUGAUACCUAACAAGUUAAUCAUAAAAGAAACAAACCAAGUAAUUGAUAAAAUAUUUAUUAACCUGAGUUUGUAAUUCAUCAUUAGAAGG
Long non-coding RNA from Vigna radiata var. radiata (mung bean), 954 nucleotides. RefSeq lists it as uncharacterized. NCBI's taxonomy places the organism in Eukaryota, Viridiplantae, Streptophyta, Magnoliopsida, Fabales, Fabaceae. The transcript has 5 exons. The record is from RefSeq and is a predicted model, not a curated record.